UUGGGAAAUGCGAUCAAUUUAAAAUAUUUAGCUUUUAGUUCUCACUUAGAGUUCCGUUUGUAUUUAUUUUAGAGUUGCCUUUCUGAGCUUUUUGCUCCUUAAGGGCUGCCAGGCCUUACUUGGGGCCUGGGGACAUAGCAUGGUUUUAAUGCCCAUUUUAAUCAGUGCUUCCUCAUGCCUUCCUAAUUUGGAUGUUUUUCAGAAGGAGGAGAUAAUGUAUGUGAAAGUGUCUUGGAAAACAAAGUUUUAUAGAACUGCAAGCCAUCUUGAUCAUUAAUUUGGAGUCUUUUUUGGUGCUUUAUAUGUAGCACGGAAGACUGGAAAGAUAGUCAUGCAGAUGGGAUCUGAAGCGUGGCCCUGUAUUGUAGCCGUAUGAUCUGGGAUAACAUUUCUGAACUGUGAACUGGAGACUGUAAUUUCCAUUUCAUACAAUGGCAUGAGGAUCCAAUGAGAUAUUAUGUGAGUGGAAACAACUCUAUAUAGAAGAGGAUUAAUAAAUGGCAAGGAAGCAGAAGCACAGAGUCCAAACCGAGCAGUCUGGCCCUGGAGUGAGUGCAUGCUUCCA
Long non-coding RNA from Balaenoptera musculus (blue whale), 565 nucleotides. RefSeq lists it as uncharacterized. Lineage: Eukaryota; Metazoa; Chordata; Mammalia; Artiodactyla; Balaenopteridae. The record is from RefSeq and is a predicted model, not a curated record. The transcript has 3 exons.